CACUUGGAAACAGAUGCUAAUACCGGAUAACAACAAUAGCUGCAUGGCUAUUGCUUAAAAGGCGGCGAAAGCUGUCGCUAAAGGAUGGACCCGCGGUGCAUUAGCUAGUUGGUAAGGUAAUGGCUUACCAAGGCGACGAUGCAUAGCCGAGUUGAGAGACUGAUCGGCCACAUUGGGACUGAGACACGGCCCAAACUCCUACGGGAGGCAGCAGUAGGGAAUCUUCCACAAUGGGCGAAAGCCUGAUGGAGCAACGCCGCGUGAGUGAAGAAGGUUUUCGGAUCGUAAAGCUCUGUUGUUGGUGAAGAAGGAUAGAGGUAGUAACUGGCCCCUAUUUGACGGUAAUCAACCAGAAAGUCACGGCUAACUACGUGCCAGCAGCCGCGGUAAUACGUAGGUGGCAAGCGUUGUCCGGAUUUAUUGGGCGUAAAGCGAGCGCAGGCGGAAAGAUAAGUCUGAUGUGAAAGCCCCCGGCUUAACCGAGGAAUUGCAUCGGAAACUGUGUUUCUUGAGUGCAGAAGAGGAGAGUGGAACUCCAUGUGUAGCGGUGGAAUGCGUAGAUAUAUGGAAGAACACCAGUGGCGAAGGCGGCUCUCUGGUCUGUAACUGACGCUGAGGCUCGAAAGCAUGGGUAGCGAACAGGAUUAGAUACCCUGGUAGUCCAUGCCGUAAACGAU
Molecule: ribosomal RNA, 677 nt
Filed under: uncultured bacterium
Lineage: Bacteria
Description: bacterial SSU rRNA
Rfam family: Bacterial small subunit ribosomal RNA
Source: RNAcentral